RNAcentral lists this ribosomal RNA (1941 nucleotides) under Streptomyces diastaticus. RNAcentral describes it as "bacterial LSU rRNA". It matches the Rfam family "Bacterial large subunit ribosomal RNA", at positions 14 to 2004 of the family's 2925-position model. The record is from RNAcentral. Lineage: Bacteria; Bacillati; Actinomycetota; Actinomycetes; Kitasatosporales; Streptomycetaceae.
AGCGCACACGGUGGAUGCCUUGGCGGUCAGAGGCGAUGAAGGACGUGGCAGCCUGCGAAAAGUAUCGGGGAGCUGGCAACAAGCUUUGAUCCGGUAAUGUCCGAAUGGGGAAACCCACCCGCUUGCGGGUAUCCUGCAGUGAAUACAUAGCUGCUGGAAGCGAACCUGGUGAACUGAAAUAUCUAAGUAACCAGAGGAAAAGAAAUCAACCGAGAUUCCGUAAGUAGCGACGAGCGAACGCGGACUAGCCCUUAAGCUGAUUUGGUUCUAGGAAAACACUCUGGAAAGAGUGGCCAUAGAAGGUGAUAGCCCUGUAUCUGAAAGGGCCAUUUCAGUGAAGACGAGUAGGGCGGGGCACGUGAAACCCUGUCUGAACAUGGGGGGACCAUCCUCCAAGGCUAAAUACUACUGACCGACCGAUAGUGAACCAGUACCGUGAGGGAAAGGCGAAAAGAACCCCGGAGAGGGGAGUGAAAUAGAACCUGAAACCGUGUGCGUACAAGCAGUAGGAGCUCCGCAAGGAGUGACUGCGUACCUUUUGUAUAAUGGGUCAGCGACUUACUGUUCGUGGCAAGCUUAACCGUAUAGGGGAGGCGAAGGGAAACCGAGUCUGAUAAGGGCGCAUAGUCGCGGGCAGUAGACCCGAAACCGGGUGAUCUAGUCAUGCCCAGGGUGAAGGUGCGGUAACACGCACUGGAGGCCCGAACCCACUCCCGUUGCAAAGGUAGGGGAUGAGGUGUGAUUAGGAGUGAAAAGCUAAUCGAACCCGGAGAUAGCUGGUUCUCCUCGAAAGCUAUUUAGGUAGCGCCUCAUAUGUAUCCUCUCGGGGGUAGAGCACUGUUAUGGCUAGGGGGUCAUCGCGACUUACCAAACCAUUGCAAACUCCGAAUACCGAGACGGACUGUAUGGGAGACACACGGCGGGUGCUAACGUCCGUCGUGAAAAGGGAAACAACCCAGACCCACAGCUAAGGUCCCAAAUUUUGUGCUAAGUGGAAAACCAUGUGGAAAGGCACAGACAGCCAGGAGGUUGGCUUAGAAGCAGCCACCCUUUAAAGAAAGCGUAAUAGCUCACUGGUCGAGUCGGUCUGCGGGGAAGAUUUAACGGGGCUAAGCACAGAACCGAAGCUUGGGGUGCAUACUUCGUAUGCGCGGUAGAGGAGCGUUCCGUAAGCCGUUGAAGGUGGAUUGAGAAGUCCGCUGGAGGUAUCGGAAGUGCGAAUGCUGACAUGAGUAACGAUAAUGCGGGUGAAAAACCCGCACGCCGAAAGCCCAAGGUUUCCUUGCGCAACGUUAAUCGGCGCAGGGUGAGUCGGCCCCUAAGGCGAGGACGAAAGUCGUAGUCGAUGGGAAGCAGGUUAAUAUUCCUGCACCUCGCGUAAGUGCGAUGGAGGGACGGAGAAGGUUAGGUGUACCAGGCGUUGGUUGUCCUGGGGAAAGGCGGUAGGUUUGGAUCUUUGGCAAAUCCGGGAUCCUCUAAGACCGAGCACCGAGACGAGCCUUUAUGGCAAAGUCACUGAUACCACGCUUCCAGGAAAAGCUCCUAAGCUUCAGCUUACGCAGACCGUACCGUAAACCGACACAGGUGGGUAGGAUGAGAAUUCUCAGGCGCUUGAGAGAACUCGGGUGAAGGAACUAGGCAACAUGGCACCGUAACUUCGGGAGAAGGUGCACCCUUUUUGGUGGCUCGUGCGAGCUAUAGCUGAAGAGGGUCGCAGUAACCAGGCCGCUGCGACUGUUUAUCAAAAACACAGCACUCUGCAAACACGAAAGUGGACGUAUAGGGUGUGACGCCUGCCCGGUGCUGGAAGGUUAAUUGAUGGGGUCAGCCGCAAGGCGAAGCUCUUGAUCGAAGCCCCAGUAAACGGCGGCCGUAACUAUAACGGUCCUAAGGUAGCGAAAUUCCUUGUCGGGUAAGUUCCGACCUGCACGAAUGGCGUAA